This 445-nucleotide ribosomal RNA is filed under the name uncultured bacterium. RNAcentral describes it as "SSU rRNA". It matches the Rfam family "Bacterial small subunit ribosomal RNA", at positions 26 to 518 of the family's 1533-position model. The record is from RNAcentral.
AGAGCGAACGCUGGCGGCAGGCCUAAUACAUGCAAGUCGAACGGAUCCUUCGGGAUUAGUGGCGGACGGGUGAGUAAUACGUGGGAACGUACCCUUUGGUUCGGAACAACUCAGGGAAACUUGAGCUAAUACCGAAUGUGCCCUUCGGGGAAAAGAUUUAUCGCCAUUGGAGCGGCCCGCGUCUGAUUAGCUAGUUGGUAGGGUAAAGGCCUACCAAGGCUACGAUCAGUAGCUGGUCUGAGAGGAUGAUCAGCCACACUGGGACUGAGACACGGCCCAGACUCCUACGGGAGGCAGCAGUAGGGAAUCUUGCGCAAUGGGCGAAAGCCUGACGCAGCCAUGCCGCGUGAAUGAUGAAGGUCUUAGGAUUGUAAAAUUCUUUCAGCGGGGACGAUAAUGACGGUACCCGCAGAAGAGCCCCGGCUAACUUCGUGCCAGCAGCCGC